GAUGAACGCUGGCGGCGUGCCUAAUACAUGCAAGUCGAGCGAACAGAUGAGGAGCUUGCUCCUCUGACGUUAGCGGCGGACGGGUGAGUAACACGUGGAUAACCUACCUAUAAGACUGGGAUAACUUCGGGAAACCGGAGCUAAUACCGGAUAAUAUAUUGAACCGCAUGGUUCAAUAGUGAAAGACGGUUUUGCUGUCACUUAUAGAUGGAUCCGCGCCGCAUUAGCUAGUUGGUAAGGUAACGGCUUACCAAGGCAACGAUGCGUAGCCGACCUGAGAGGGGGAUCGGCCAAACUGGAACGGAAACCCGGUCCAGACCCCUAGGGGAGGCAGCAGUGGGGAAUCUUCCGCAAGGGGCGAAAGCCUAACGGGGCAACGCCGCGGGGGGGAUGAAGGUUUUCGGUUCGUAAAACUCUUUUAUUAGGGAAGAAAAAAUGUUUAAGUAACUUUGCACGUUUUGACGGUACCGAAUCAGAAAGCCACGGCUAACUACGU
This 496-nucleotide ribosomal RNA is filed under the name uncultured bacterium. RNAcentral's name for it is "partial 16S ribosomal RNA". It matches the Rfam family "Bacterial small subunit ribosomal RNA", at positions 28 to 506 of the family's 1533-position model. The record is from RNAcentral.